RNAcentral lists this ribosomal RNA (486 nucleotides) under Triticum aestivum (bread wheat). Its description in RNAcentral is "partial small subunit ribosomal RNA". The record is from RNAcentral. Lineage: Eukaryota; Viridiplantae; Streptophyta; Magnoliopsida; Poales; Poaceae.
AUGGAUGGAAAUGUAGCAGCUGAUGGGGGUGAGCCCCCCUAUGACCCAAUGAAAGAUCCAACAAGGAAGCCACAACGGUCAAAUGAUCCGGGAUGGAACUAUGGAUAUUGGUCUAAGCCUCCAAAUCGGGAUCUUGUUGUGUGCGCUCUUUGUGGCAAGAUAACUUCUGGAGGGAUCAAGAGGCAUAAGGAGCAUCUUGCGGGCAUCAGGGGAGAUGCAAUUGGUUGUCCUAAGGCCACCACACAACUGAGGAGAGAAAUAAAAGCAUAUUUGGAGCAAAACAGGAGGAUCAAGGGAGUAGUAGAUGUAGAUGAUGAUCAGGUUGUGGAGGUGAGUUCAGUUGGAGCAAACAUCGCCUCUAAAAGGCCAAGCUCAGGGACAGCAGCCAAACAGAAUAAGAAAGCGUUUAUCGUCAACAUGCAAGGUAAAAAGAAGUUUGUUGCUGCUGCCGCCAAUAGUUCCAAGCCAAUUGUUGCCAUGUUAUGA